Molecule: long non-coding RNA, 308 nt
Organism: Nicotiana attenuata
Lineage: Eukaryota; Viridiplantae; Streptophyta; Magnoliopsida; Solanales; Solanaceae
Exons: 3
Source: RefSeq, a predicted model, not a curated record
CAUAAAGUGUUGUGCUCCAUUCGACACACUACAGUUGGUCUAGAACCAUCUCUUCUUCCAUCUCUUCUAAUCCAAUAUAGCAGAGAAGUACCCUUUUCACAUCUUUAAACUUUCAAAAAUACUUUUAUCUCUCUUCAUUUUUUCUUCCGUCUCUUGCAAUUUCAGUAGAACAGUCAGGUCCGAUGGCUCUAAGCAUUGGCUGCACAAUAUAGAAGCCUAACAAAGGGUGCGAAAGUUGCAAAAAGGACGACUAACCACAACACCAUCAAUGCAUUAAGCAUCAAAUUUUCUGAAUAUGUAAAUAGUAU